GAUAAACGCUGGUGGCGUGCCUAAUACAUGCAAGUCGAGCGAACGGACGAGAAGCUUGCUUCUCUGAUGUUAGCGGCGGACGGGUGAGUAACACGUGGAUAACCUACCUAUAAGACUGGGAUAACUUCGGGAAACCGGAGCUAAUACCGGAUAAUAUUUUGAACCGCAUGGUUCAAAAGUGAAAGACGGUCUUGCUGUCACUUAUAGAUGGAUCCGCGCUGCAUUAGCUAGUUGGUAAGGUAACGGCUUACCAAGGCAACGAUGCAUAGCCGACCUGAGAGGGUGAUCGGCCACACUGGAACUGAGACACGGUCCAGACUCCUACGGGAGGCAGCAGUAGGGAAUCUUCCGCAAUGGGCGAAAGCCUGACGGAGCAACGCCGCGUGAGUGAUGAAGGUCUUCGGAUCGUAAAACUCUGUUAUUAGGGAAGAACAUAUGUGUAAGUAACUGUGCACAUCUUGACGGUACCUAAUCAGAAAGCCACGGCUAACUACGUGCCAGCAGCCGCGGUAAUACGUAGGUGGCAAGCGUUAUCCGGAAUUAUUGGGCGUAAAGCGCGCGUAGGCGGUUUUUUAAGUCUGAUGUGAAAGCCCACGGCUCAACCGUGGAGGGUCAUUGGAAACUGGAAAACUUGAGUGCAGAAGAGGAAAGUGGAAUUCCAUGUGUAGCGGUGAAAUGCGCAGAGAUAUGGAGGAACACCAGUGGCGAAGGCGACUUUCUGGUCUGUAACUGACGCUGAUGUGCGAAAGCGUGGGGAUCAAACAGGAUUAGAUACCCUGGUAGUCCACGCCGUAAACGAUGAGUGCUAAGUGUUAGGGGGUUUCCGCCCCUUAGUGCUGCAGCUAACGCAUUAAGCACUCCGCCUGGGGAGUACGACCGCAAGGUUGAAACUCAAAGGAAUUGACGGGGACCCGCACAAGCGGUGGAGCAUGUGGUUUAAUUCGAAGCAACGCGAAGAACCUUACCAAAUCUUGACAUCCUUUGACAACUCUAGAGAUAGAGCCUUCCCCUUCGGGGGACAAAGUGACAGGUGGUGCAUGGUUGUCGUCAGCUCGUGUCGUGAGAUGUUGGGUUAAGUCCCGCAACGAGCGCAACCCUUAAGCUUAGUUGCCAUCAUUAAGUUGGGCACUCUAAGUUGACUGCCGGUGACAAACCGGAGGAAGGUGGGGAUGACGUCAAAUCAUCAUGCCCCUUAUGAUUUGGGCUACACACGUGCUACAAUGGACAAUACAAAGGGCAGCGAAACCGCGAGGUCAAGCAAAUCCCAUAAAGUUGUUCUCAGUUCGGAUUGUAGUCUGCAACUCGACUACAUGAAACUGGAAUCGCUAGUAAUCAUAGAUCAGCAUGCUACGGUGAAUACGUUCCCGGGUCU
RNAcentral lists this ribosomal RNA (1372 nucleotides) under uncultured bacterium. RNAcentral describes it as "bacterial SSU rRNA". It matches the Rfam family "Bacterial small subunit ribosomal RNA", at positions 28 to 1381 of the family's 1533-position model. The record is from RNAcentral.